Pan paniscus (pygmy chimpanzee) is the source of this 915-nucleotide long non-coding RNA. The record is from Ensembl. NCBI's taxonomy places the organism in Eukaryota, Metazoa, Chordata, Mammalia, Primates, Hominidae.
CUUGAAGCAAUGUAAUGUGAUUUACAGGGAAGGCAUACACUGAGGGAAAGUCGGUUAAGCAGUUCCGGGUAGGCUUAACUUCCCUAGCUUCCUUUCAUAUUUACUAAUACCCGUAUCUUAUCAAACACGCUCCUGAGUAAAUGGCUGGACUGAGGUUUUACUAAGUUUCUGGGCAAGAAUCCAUGUCAAAUGAAGUGCUGCAUUCCUUUGUGAUGGAUUUCUGCAUGCACCGCUAGUGAAAUCCUGAAAAGGCCAGUUGAACGGAUGGACCACAUUCUUUAUGUUCAAGGUAAAGGCUGCCUGGGUUCAUCACACACGGUGGAACUCUUGAUUUGGUUUGAACUUGCUUUUGAGCCAAAUACUAGUCCCACACACAUACAAGAAAGACAAACACUACCAAGGGAUUUAUUUUCCACAAGAAGCUGUGCAUUACCAGCCAAAGAAAACAAACACCCCAAGAAAAAGAAGGCUCUCCUGAUGCAAUUAGAAUUUACUCAACAUUCUGUUUCUCCCUCUCUUAGAGAACAAUGAAAAACAGUUCGGUGGUUAAAGUUCAGUCUAUGACUAAAAGGAUUUUCUGUGGAAUUUCUUGACUUCUCUUUCAGCACACUUUAGAACAAUAAGCGAAUGACUUACCAGGAAAUAAAACACAGGACCUCAGAUGAGUGGGCGUUCUCCAUAGCAAACCCUGCCCACUUAACAGUUUUGCCAAGAUAUGGUCCAGAUACAGGUCCUUACCUCUGGUUUGGCUUUCACAGUGAAGCCAAACCAGGACAGCUUGUUACACAGAGUCUGGAAAGCAGCCCUUCAUGUUGGGAUUCUGGAAUUGUGUCACUGACGAGUCAGAUUUCCAUAAGGAAAACAUACUUGGUUCUUUGCAUUAUUGGUAACCAUGUCUGCUGUGCUUUGGAAUAA